This 90-nucleotide ribosomal RNA is filed under the name Cebus imitator (Panamanian white-faced capuchin). The record is from RNAcentral. Lineage: Eukaryota; Metazoa; Chordata; Mammalia; Primates; Cebidae.
CCCAAGUGCCAUAACAGCCUGAGGAUGCCCCAGCCUAGAAGCUAAGCAGGGUUGUGCCUCAGAUGUGCUUUAAUGGGGGAGUGCUUGGGA